This 237-nucleotide non-coding RNA is filed under the name Dellaglioa algida. RNAcentral's name for it is "Lactobacillus algidus T-box". It matches the Rfam family "T-box leader". From Rfam's summary of the family: Uncharged tRNA acts as the effector for transcription antitermination of genes in the T-box leader family. T-boxes are found upstream of many aminoacyl-tRNA synthetase genes and some amino acid biosynthetic genes usually in Gram-positive bacteria. Lineage: Bacteria; Bacillati; Bacillota; Bacilli; Lactobacillales; Lactobacillaceae. The record is from RNAcentral.
AGAAAAACGUUGAACAGAAGAUUAAGUCUUGGAUAAACUUUUAAAGAGAGUAUCGGUUGCUGCAAAGAUACAGUCUCCAAGUCUGAAACACAUCUGCGAGUUGGGUUCCUCAACUAGUUUACUAGGGAAUCCCGGGAUAAGCCCGUUAUAGCUGCAGUUUAAUAAACUCGUUGAGAUUGAAUUCGUGAGAAUUUGAUAAAGCUUGAGGUGGAACCGCGACUUUUUGUUGCCCUCUAU